This 841-nucleotide ribosomal RNA is filed under the name uncultured Gammaproteobacteria bacterium. Its description in RNAcentral is "bacterial SSU rRNA". It matches the Rfam family "Bacterial small subunit ribosomal RNA", at positions 61 to 936 of the family's 1533-position model. The record is from RNAcentral. Lineage: Bacteria; Pseudomonadati; Pseudomonadota; Gammaproteobacteria.
GUCGAACGUGAAAGCACUUCGGUGUGAGUAGAGUGGCGGACGGGUGAGUAACGCGUGGGAAUCUACCCAGUAGUGGGGGACAACUACCGGAAACGGUAGCUAAUACCGCAUACGCCCUAUGGGGGAAAGGCUUCGGCCGCUAUUGGAUGAGCCCGCGUCAGAUUAGCUAGUUGGUAGGGUAAAGGCCUACCAAGGCAACGAUCUGUAGCUGGUCUGAGAGGACGAACAGCCACACUGGGACUGAGACACGGCCCAGACUCCUACGGGAGGCAGCAGUGGGGAAUAUUGGACAAUGGGCGAAAGCCUGAUCCAGCAAUGCCGCGUGUGUGAAGAAGGCCUGCGGGUUGUAAAGCACUUUCAGUUGGGAAGAUGAUGACGUUACCAACAGAAGAAGCACCGGCUAAAUCCGUGCCAGCAGCCGCGGUAAUACGGAUGGUGCGAGCGUUAAUCGGAAUUACUGGGCGUAAAGCGCGCGUAGGCGGCUAAGUCAGUCAGAAGUGAAAGCCCCGGGCUCAACCUGGGAAUUGCUUUUGAUACUGCUUAGCUAGAGUUUGGUAGAGGAUAGUGGAAUUCCAGGUGUAGCGGUGAAAUGCGUAGAUAUCUGGAGGAACAUCAGUGGCGAAGGCGACUGUCUGGACCAAAACUGACGCUGAGGUGCGAAAGCGUGGGUAGCAAACAGGAUUAGAUACCCUGGUAGUCCACGCCGUAAACGAUGUCAACUAGCCGUCGGGUCUAUUUACAGACUUGGUGGCGAAGCUAACGCGAUAAGUUGACCGCCUGGGGAGUACGGCCGCAAGGUUAAAACUCAAAGGAAUUGACGGGGGCCCGCACAAGCGGUGGA